This 253-nucleotide ribosomal RNA is filed under the name uncultured bacterium. RNAcentral describes it as "partial 16S ribosomal RNA". It matches the Rfam family "Bacterial small subunit ribosomal RNA", at positions 524 to 776 of the family's 1533-position model. The record is from RNAcentral.
UACGAAGGGUGCAAGCGUUAAUCGGAAUUACUGGGCGUAAAGGGUGCGUAGGCGGUUCGUUAGGUCUGUUGUGAAAUCCCCGGGCUCAACCUGGGAAUGGCAAUGGAUACUGGCGGGCUAGAGUGUGUCAGAGGAUGGUGGAAUUCCUGGUGUAGCGGUGAAAUGCGUAGAUAUCAGGAGGAACACCUGUGGCGAAAGCGGCUCACUGGACCAUAACUGACGCUGAUGCACGAAAGCUAGGGGAGCAAACAGG